Molecule: ribosomal RNA, 497 nt
Filed under: uncultured bacterium
Lineage: Bacteria
Description: partial 16S ribosomal RNA
Rfam family: Bacterial small subunit ribosomal RNA
Source: RNAcentral
GACGAACGCUGGCGGCGUGCCUAAUACAUGCAAGUCGAGCGAACAGACGAGGAGCUUGCUCCUCUGACGUUAGCGGCGGACGGGUGAGUAACACGUGGAUAACCUACCUAUAAGACUGGGAUAACUUCGGGAAACCGGAGCUAAUACCGGAUAAUAUAUUGAACCGCAUGGUUCAAUAGUGAAAGACGGUUUUGCUGUCACUUAUAGAUGGAUCCGCGCCGCAUUAGCUAGUUGGUAAGGUAACGGCUUACCAAGGCGACGAUGCGUAGCCGACCUGAGAGGGUGAUCGGCCACACUGGAACUGAGACACGGUCCAGACUCCUACGGGAGGCAGCAGUAGGGAAUCUUCCGCAAUGGGCGGAAGCCUGACGGAGCAACGCCGCGUGAGUGAUGAAGGUCUUCGGAUCGUAAAACUCUGUUAUUAGGGAAGAACAAAUGUGUAAGUAACUAUGCACGUCUUGACGGUACCUAAUCAGAAAGCCACGGCUAACUACGUG